ACGAACGCUGGCGGCAGGCUUAACACAUGCAAGUCGAGCGCCCCGCAAGGGGAGCGGCAGACGGGUGAGUAACGCGUGGGAAUCUACCCAGCUCUACGGAAUAACUCAGGGAAACUUGUGCUAAUACCGUAUACGUCCGAUAGGAGAAAGAUUUAUCGGAGUUGGAUGAGCCCGCGUUGGAUUAGCUAGUUGGUGGGGUAAUGGCCUACCAAGGCGACGAUCCAUAGCUGGUCUGAGAGGAUGAUCAGCCACACUGGGACUGAGACACGGCCCAGACUCCUACGGGAGGCAGCAGUGGGGAAUAUUGGACAAUGGGCGCAAGCCUGAUCCAGCCAUGCCGCGUGAGUGAUGAAGGCCCUAGGGUUGUAAAGCUCUUUCAACGGUGAAGAUAAUGACGGUAACCGUAGAAGAAGCCCCGGCUAACUUCGU
Molecule: ribosomal RNA, 429 nt
Filed under: uncultured bacterium
Lineage: Bacteria
Description: bacterial SSU rRNA
Rfam family: Bacterial small subunit ribosomal RNA
Source: RNAcentral